This 342-nucleotide unclassified non-coding RNA is filed under the name uncultured fungus. RNAcentral describes it as "partial contains 5.8S ribosomal RNA and internal transcribed spacer 2". The stretch from base 1 to 133 matches the Rfam family "5.8S ribosomal RNA", at positions 22 to 154 of the family's 154-position model. The record is from RNAcentral. Lineage: Eukaryota; Fungi.
UGGCUCUGGCAUCGAUGAAGAACGCAGCGAAAUGCGAUAAGUAAUGUGAAUUGCAGAAUUCAGUGAAUCAUCGAAUCUUUGAACGCACAUUGCGCCCGCCAGUACUCUGGCGGGCAUGCCUGUCCGAGCGUCAUUUCAACCCUCGGGCCCCCGUUUCGGCGGCGGGCCCGGCGUUGGGGAUCAGGGGCCGCCCGGCGGACCCUGCCCCCUAAAUACAGUGGCGGUCGCGCCGCAGCCUCCCCUGCGUAGUAGCACACCUCGCACCGGAGAGCGGCUCGGCCACGCCGUGAAACCCCCCACUUCUUCAAGGUUGACCUCGGAUCAGGUAGGAAUACCCGCUGA